Molecule: long non-coding RNA, 520 nt
Filed under: Zonotrichia albicollis (white-throated sparrow)
Lineage: Eukaryota; Metazoa; Chordata; Aves; Passeriformes; Passerellidae
Description: lncRNA (ENSZALG00000008273.1)
Source: RNAcentral
UUUUAAUCUCUGCUGAUAAAUCAGAGUGUUUGGAUGAUUAGCACUGACCGCCUUCUGAUUGGUUUUCUGGCUUGCUGCUGCUCAGGACUUUUUGCUUAUGAGAUAACUAGAUAUAUGCCUGGCUAGUGAAAAAGGUCUAUAUGACAUAUGUCUGGCUAUUUGACUGUCAGUCAAAUAAGAUUAUGUUGAAAUUGUUGUAUUGAGGAUCAGAUCUUGUGCCCUACAUGCUUUUUUUCAUCCAUGAGUCACUCUUUGGAUCCCUUUUCUUAUUUAAGAAGAAAAAAAUCCCCCAAUUACAAGAUGGCAUGAGCUGUGCUGAGCCCAUACAACAUCCUAAGCAGGAAGCCCUUGCCCAGCACCAAUUAAGGACUAACUGUACCAAGGGAUUCAGUUUCAGCAGGCCUCUCUCUCUGCUGCCCAGCAAAGGGGAAAUCCUUUCCUUCGGCAGUUCAUAGGAUAUCCUGAGCUGGAAGGGACCCAAAAGGACCAUCCAAGUCCAAGCAACCUGGGUGCAAAGUCA